RNAcentral lists this unclassified non-coding RNA (516 nucleotides) under uncultured Glomus. RNAcentral's name for it is "SSU rRNA". It matches the Rfam family "Eukaryotic small subunit ribosomal RNA", at positions 569 to 1088 of the family's 1831-position model. Lineage: Eukaryota; Fungi; Glomeromycota; Glomeromycetes; Glomerales; Glomeraceae. The record is from RNAcentral.
AGCAGCCGCGGUAAUUCCAGCUCCAAUAGCGUAUAUUAAAGUUGCUGCAGUUAAAAGCUCGUAGUUGAAUUUCGGGACCAUCAUGUUGGUCGUGCCUCGGUACGUACUGGCAUUGUUGGUUUCUCCCUUCUGACGAACCAUGAUGUCAUUUAUUUGGUGUCGUGGGAAAUCAGGACUGUUACUUUGAAAAAUUAGAGUGUUUAAAGCAGGCUCACGCUUGAAUACAUUAGCAUGGAAUAAUGAAAUAGGACGUUUGAUUCUAUUUUGUUGGUUUCUAGGAUCGACGUAAUGAUUAAUAGGGAUAGUUGGGGGCAUUAGUAUUCAAUUGUCAGAGGUGAAAUUCUUGGAUUUAUUGAAGACUAACUACUGCGAAAGCAUUUGCCAAGGAUGUUUUCAUUAAUCAAGAACGAAAGUUAGGGGAUCGAAGACGAUCAGAUACCGUCGUAGUCUUAACCAUAAACUAUGCCGACUAGGGAUCGGAUGAUGUUUAAUUUUUAAUGUACUCAUUCGGUACCG